Molecule: ribosomal RNA, 466 nt
Filed under: uncultured bacterium
Lineage: Bacteria
Description: partial 16S ribosomal RNA
Rfam family: Bacterial small subunit ribosomal RNA
Source: RNAcentral
GAUGAACGCUGGCGGCGUGCUUAACACAUGCAAGUCGAACGAUGAAGCCCAGCUUGCUGGGUGGAUUAGUGGCGAACGGGUGAGUAACACGUGAGUAACCUGCCCUUAACUCUGGGAUAAGCCUGGUAAACUGGGUCUAAUACCGGAUAGGAGCGUCCACCGCAUGGUGGGUGUUGGAAAGAUUUAUCGGUUUUGGAUGGACUCGCGGCCUAUCAGCUUGUUGGUGAGGUAAUGGCUCACCAAGGCGACGACGGGUAGCCGGCCUGAGAGGGUGACCGGCCACACUGGGACUGAGACACGGCCCAGACUCCUACGGGAGGCAGCAGUGGGGAAUAUUGCACAAUGGGCGAAAGCCUGAUGCAGCGACGCCGCGUGAGGGAUGACGGCCUUCGGGUUGUAAACCUCUUUCAGUAGGGAAGAAGCGAAAGUGACGGUACCUGCAGAAGAAGCACCGGCUAACUACGUG